Molecule: long non-coding RNA, 4022 nt
Organism: Synchiropus splendidus (mandarinfish)
Lineage: Eukaryota; Metazoa; Chordata; Actinopteri; Syngnathiformes; Callionymidae
Exons: 4
Source: RefSeq, a predicted model, not a curated record
ACGACCCGGCAUCUGCUGCACAGAGGGCGUCCUGCGCGGCUGGCUGCUGAUCAAGUCAGAAAGUUUUCACCUGAACUUCCCGGUGUCAGUGAGACUUUUACUCUUUCCACUGAUUUCUGCUGCUGUUACUGCUACUUCCAAGGCUAGAACUAUUUUUACUACUACAACUACUGAUACUUCUACUACCACUAUUCCUGUCACCAACUGCUGCUUCUACUCCUAGCUACUGCUUUGACUACAACUUCUAUUUCUUCACUGACACUACUACUGUUAGUUCUGUGAGUACUGUUAGUAGUACUAUUCCUUCUAUGGAUCCUUCUGCUACUGGUAUUGCUUAUUCUACUGCGACUACUACUGUACAUGUACCACCUCUAAUGUCUGUACUCCUAGCUAGCUAUACUAACUAGUAUACUACUAUUUCUAAGGCUAUGACUGCUACACUUUUUUCUACUUCUGGUUUUUCCUCCACUAUCACAACCAUUAAUGAUACUUUAUACUGUUAUACUCUUUCAUGCAUGGCUACUACGACACAAACCGAUGUUUUCACAGUCAUACUUCAACUACUUCAAUGAUUACUUCUGUAGAUUUCUGGUCUAUAAGUGCAGGUGUGUACUGUGUUUCAUAUUUGAGUAUUACCAUUUCUAUUUGUGUUUCUUAUGGCGUCAGUUCUACAAUGACUUCUGCCGCCGUCUUCUACUGAUGUGUCACAGCUUGUUGCACAAGUCUCCACCUUGAGAGCCGCGUCAAGUGUAAACCCAAAAUCGUCCAGUGCAAUCAGACCUUGGGUCGUCUCCCGUGGCCAGAGAUUUGCAUCACCUCCCGGCGUCACUUUUAAUGAACACACACGCGACUUCUGAUCACCAGCCACCAGCUCACUCUUCCUGCGGGCUAAACUAACUUCAGAGAAGCGACCCGUUCACAGACGGCUCCAGCGGUCCGAGCCUGCGGGCUGCCACUUUCAUCUGAGUCUUUCAUCCACGGCUUCAGACGCUCACUGAAAUCGACACACACAGCCAAAAAGUCUCCGCUCACCUAGCGGCGCUCCGACCACGGCCGCUUUGACUGCUCUGAAUAAUGGAGGAGAACUGAAAUAUUAAGAUGGCCGCUCCGAGCGGUCGUCCCCUCUCUACUGUCUAUUCACCUGAGCCACUCAUUUGCUCCGACCCAACACCCACAGGAACUCAGAUCCACAGGGAGGUUUUUAAAGCUCCAAUUAUCCCAAGAUUUAUCUCUGGGACUUGUCAUCGGCAGCAACUCACCAUCCUGGAAGCCAGCAUGAGAAACUGCCUGAGCUUUACCGAAUCUAAUCUAAGAUACUCUCAACAAAGUGACUGAAAACCUGGUGCGUCUGUGGCGUCUCCCAAACAGAAGACAUUGUUAACCUGGAGCUGCGAAGCCGGUCCCCAGGGAGGGCUGAUGGGUUCCCAAAUGAGCUCGAGGCACCAGUACACACCCCAACAGUGGCGUGGGUUUCUGGGUCAAGUCACUCAACCUGGGACGACAGGGCUUGUUAGGUGUUGUUGACUCAGCAGUUCCAGGUCAGUGGAAGAAACUGCUGUUGCUAUUUAGUUAUUUUCCUACUUUUACUGUUAGUUCCAAGUGAUACUGAUCUCUCGUCCUUCUCACACUACUAUAGUACUUAUACUGUUUAUCUUUCUUCUUCAACUACUUCAACUGAUACAACUGGACCUUUUCCUCUACUACUAUUGAUUCUUCUGAUACUUGUACUUCAUCUAUUUAUUCUUCCCCUCUACUAUUAGUCUUUUUUCUCCAACUGAAACUUUGAUUGUAUUAUUACUACGGUUGAUACUUCUGACACCUCCUCCUCUUCCCCCUUAUUAGGAUUACUGCCACGACUACCUUUAAACUGUUUCUUCCGUAACCUAUCUCAGUUCAAUACUAUUGAAACUUCUAAUUUUUCUCUGCCUAGUACUACCUCUACUGCAUCUAUGAUUACCAGUACUACUCCUUCUAGUGAUAGCAUUCUAUCGUCUGUUGAAUGUAUCUGCAGAACUGCAAAUACUACUACCAAUACUACAAUUAAUAAUAUUAAUAAUAAAACAAUCUUCUACUUCUGCUCUUCCCUCUACUAUCACAACCAAUACUGACACCCUUCUGUACUAUGAUUACUAUUAAUGCUGCCACCACUGAUACAACCAUGACUACUACUACCUCUGCCACAGCAACUAAGCCGAUGGUACUGUGGCUUCUUCCACUCGUCCUCCUGCUGCAGAAGCUUGUUGCCGCGCCACUGACACACACAAGUGAGACGGCAUUAUCUCUUGUUUUCCUCUGAGAGGCUGUUGUCUCAUUUGUUACAGCGACUCGCCAGAAAGAGAAAAGAAAACUCAGUUGAAGAGCAAAACACAAAACUUGAGGGACAAACAAGAGGGUUGUAAGAGUCCUGUGUACAUGUCUGAUGUGUUCUACUCAACAUGUUUUAAACGUUUAUGUUCAUCAAACUGGGAUGAUAUUCAGUUCAGCUCCCAAGGUGACGGCAGCCCUUAUCCUGGUUUGUUUGCCCAAAUUAGUUCCUCAUAUCGAAGCAGACCUUCGUAUUGACAUGAAUAAAAUGCGAGCUCGUUGGAAAGGUCGCUCCAGCAGCUCACCUCUGACGCCAAGCAAUAAAUAAAUCUCUUUUUCUCCUGCGAGAAGGUACAUGACAGGCGAGCGAGACGAAGUGACACCAGGCCUUCUGACUCUUCCCAGUUUCAUCUCUCAACUGCUGUCCUUGACUCAUGUCAGGAUUUAUUACUGAAGUGCGAUCGUGACAGAUUUGCUGAGCAGCAGGAGAGACGACCGGAGUUUGGAGCGCGGUGUGAUUCUUUAUCACGCUUUAAUCACAGCAACUGCUCCCGACAAAAUGCUCGUUUGAUCUGCCAAGUCUGUCGUCUCCGUACGCAACAGCGUGGCUCCAUCCUUGUCAGGGCACAAACAUGUGACUUCCUCCAGCUCUGUUGCUGGAGCUGAGCUGUUUCCAGGUUGACAGCAUCUCUCCUGGGUCUGAGCCGGGGCCUCCCCCCGUCCUGCAGGAGUCGUCCUGGCUUCUGUUGAUACCAAGAAGCCCAUGACUCCAGACACCCUGCAGACACCCUCCGCUCAACCCGCCGCAUCAGCACCACUCUGGGAAGCAGCUCGCCAACAGACGAAUCAAUCAGGUGGACAAAGAGCGAGGAUAUUUACAGAGAGUAGCGCCGCCCGGCUGCUCAUCCAUCAACAGUGUGAAAGGAAAUGAUGCCUGACUUCACGUUAGAUUCCGGAAAUAUUGGGGAUAGUGAGUAAGUGAACCGCGUGUGUGACUGAGGAUGACGUCUUCUAGCUGGGGGCGACCAGAGAGAGUCCCAGGCAUCCUACAUCAUGAACCUCUCAGCUUUUCCAUCUCCAAAAGUCUUGGCCCAAUCGUCUUCAGUGGAGACGUAAUUGUUCAUCAAGUGGAUUGGACCUGAGAUCUUCGACUACCUCUUCUCCUUUCAGCAAGUCCUCAUCGACAUCAUCCUCUAGUCACAGACAGACGUGAACCUGGCUUCUUCAUCACCAAGAUUCUUGGUCCACUCCGCCUAACCAUCUGGCCCCCCUGCCAUUGUCUCCAAACUCCUCCACCUCUGAUUCUCUAGUCGCACAACCUCAGUCUGACCAGUAUUACUGACCACUACUCUCCUGUAAAGCUGCAGCUCGGACAUCACAGUCGUCCACGGCUGCACUUGCUUCUUCACCUUCUGUGCGUCACCCUGGAUGAUGGACCUACAACUCACCCACUCCAUCACCUCCUCCUCUACCUUCUGACUCUACAAAUCAUCAGUCAACAUCGUCACCUCGGGGGAAUCUUUACAGUUUCAAAGUCUGCAAAAACAUUAAGAAAUUAGAGCUUAUUUUUGGUGAUUUGUGGUUUCUAUUGUCAGUGAAGAUUGUUGCUAAACGUUAGCAGGCAAACAAAACAAAAGGCUGCUUAACUACUAGCCCAACUUCAUUUUCCUACACCUCAAUGUGGAACUAUAAAAUUAUAUUUUAUAAAAACAAGAAGA